AGAGUUUGAUCAUGGCUCAGGACGAACGCUGGCGGCGUGCUUAACACAUGCAAGUCGAGCGGAAAGGCCCCUUCGGGGGUACUCGAGCGGCGAACGGGUGAGUAACACGUGGGUAAUCUGCCCGGGACACAGGAACAACCAGUGGAAACGCUGGCUAAUGCCUGAUGACGUGCCGGCCUUUCGGGGCUGUCACCAAAGGUAGCUUCGGCCUCCGGUCCCGGAUGAGCCCGCGGCCCAUUAGCUUGUUGGCGGGGUAACGGCCCACCAAGGCGUCGAUGGGUAGCUGGUCUGAGAGGAUGGUCAGCCACACGGGGACUGAGAUACGGCCCCGACUCCUACGGGAGGCAGCAGCUAAGAAUCUUGCGCAAUGGGCGAAAGCCUGACGCAGCAAUUCCGCGUGGGGGACGAAGGCCCUCGGGUCGUAAACCCCUUUUACGAGGGAGGAAGUUCUGACGGUACCUCGUGAAUAAGACACGGCUAACUACGUGCCAGCAGCCGCGGUAAUUC
RNAcentral lists this ribosomal RNA (507 nucleotides) under uncultured bacterium. RNAcentral's name for it is "bacterial SSU rRNA". It matches the Rfam family "Bacterial small subunit ribosomal RNA", at positions 8 to 526 of the family's 1533-position model. The record is from RNAcentral.